This is a long non-coding RNA of Helianthus annuus (common sunflower), 909 nucleotides long. RefSeq lists it as uncharacterized. The transcript is spliced from 2 exons. Lineage: Eukaryota; Viridiplantae; Streptophyta; Magnoliopsida; Asterales; Asteraceae. The record is from RefSeq and is a predicted model, not a curated record.
GGUAGUUAAAAUCCCUAAUAUUUUUACCUUUUUCUUCCCAUUAUAACCCUCAAUCUUCUUUCAUCAAGAUCAAUAUCCAAGCACGGGUCUCCAUUUACAAUAGUUGCUUCAGAUUCCCUUCACUCUAAUCAAUUCAAGCCAUUGAAUGCCAUAAUUAACCAUCUUGAAUGCUAGAAAUCUAAUUUCGCCCUAAAUUUCUAAGACGUCAUCUGAAAGGUCACUGCUAAUCUCCAUGAUUUCAUCCUCCGCUCCCAAAUCUGUCCCUCCUUUCAAUGAGUUCUUCAGUUUCUUAUCAGGGAGUUGUGUAAUCGAUACCCUAAUUAAUUGUACAUUCAAUUUCGUAUUGAAUGCAAUUGAAGAUGUGGCUUGAAUGUUGGGUUUGCAAUUUAGGUGUUUAUAGGCACUCAAAGAGUCGAUUACACAGAUGCAACAAGAUAACAUUAGUGGCUGCAUAUACAAGACAGAGCCACAGAAUUAUGUGGCUGAAUGGAAGAGAUUCCGGUCAACUUCGGUUCAUCCCUGUUCACAAUGCAUGUUCCUUCUCGCACUUGAUUUCAAUUUGCAAGAACCAUAAGUUUGCAAGAUCACUGGAAUAUAUAAUUUAUGCUUGGUGUUUGGUAUGAUUCUCCAAAAUCAAUGGUUUUGGAUUUAACCCCUUUCAUUUGAUUUGAUCUUGUGAGGUUUGAUGAUAAAAGACGAUCAAUAAGAGGCAACGAUGACUAAAUUUGAUUUGAUCAGGUUUCAGAUUCACCGCAUUUGGCGUGGCAGAUUCAGAGGAUGGUAACUGCAAGAUAUGUCUUUCAUACUGCAGUUGCAACCUGUUGCGGCUAGGGUGGUGUAAGUCUGUUUAUGUGAUGGAAAAAAAAAUAUGAGCCUUAAUGUUUUGCAAUAAAAUUAUCUUUGAUAUCA